This 1499-nucleotide long non-coding RNA is filed under the name Numida meleagris (helmeted guineafowl). RNAcentral describes it as "lncRNA (ENSNMEG00000021222.1)". Lineage: Eukaryota; Metazoa; Chordata; Aves; Galliformes; Numididae. The record is from RNAcentral.
CUUUUAUUUACUUACUUCAUCUUUUUUUUCCCUUUUUCAAUCAGACCAGUGAAAAACCCAAUUAAAAAAAAAAUAAUGAAGACAUUUCCACUCACUUCAGUACCAAGAGGAUGUUCCCCAUUCAUACAAGGAAUAAGAAAACCUGCUUCAAAAUAUUUUCUAGGAGAAAACUACAUCUUUCAUCUACCUCUACAUCAUACCAUGCAAUUGUAUAUUUGCAAUUUAACUUGAUUUUUUUUCCAUCUUUUAUCAUAUAUACCAUUCAACCUGCCAUGGAAGUUAGAACAUCUAUGAGCAUAUAGUCAAAUACAUAAGAGAGUAGGUCUGGCUCUUUUGUUAGUACCCAUUACUGAAGAUACACUCUUUCCUCAGUUGAGCAAAGCUCAUCCAUGAUAGAUAAACUCUUUCCAAUCAAUACACUUCUAAAAGAAGUUUAUUAUUAAAGGAAGGGUAAGGUAUGCACUACAUGUUGGAAUGGAAAAAAAAAAGGAAGAGGAUGUCAGCAAAACAUAGAACUGAAAGGACAUCCAUGAAGAAGGAGCAAGGAUUCUGUCAAACACAUCUUUUUUCCUAACUACUCAAAAGAUUAAAAAAUACUAAAUAAUAAUUAAAAAACCAUAAUACUCAACUAGAAAGCACUACUUCUGUAGUAAACAGAUAUGAUACAAACUGCACUCUAAAAGUAUACUCCCAAAUUAUUUCUGUGGGUCUUGAGCUUGUUCUUCAUUGUCUGCCAAAACAAGAAAUAGUGAUUUGACUCUAUCAGGGUUGAUGAAUUCCUUUUGCGAUAUUUAAUGAUAUUAAUAGAAGUCUAGGAAACUUGUGCUAUAAGAAAAUAAAUAAUUAUAAUAAGAGCUAUCUAGUUAUAAAAGCAUUAAAACUGUCAGUGCUAUAUACAUUCUCUUCUCAUUCCCUAAUUGCCUAUACAUAUUCUUUUGACCUUCUACAACUUUCUCUUGUCACCAUAUGAUGCCCUACCACUACGCAAAUCUCAGCAUCAUGCUUUCUUUUGUUAUUUGCCUAGAAGUAGCAGAGUGCUGGAAGCAUCCAGUUAGCAACAGACCUCACCUGUGGUGCUCAAAGAAAGUUCGGCUACUCCAGCAGCAUGGCUCUACUUGGAGAAUAAAAAUGCUUAAUUUCCUGGCUGUGAGACGCUCUGAAAAACAAGAACCCCUAUGGAUCAUUGCAGAUUACUUUUUUGCAGAUGAGUUCUAUAUGAACCUGAUUAAAAUUCUUUUGGAUGCUGAAGAGAGAUGAUGUAUCAAGCCCGAAGCGCCUUCCACCGCAUCUCUGACAACAUUCAGCUCAAGGCACUCUGACCCCUCAGUUGAUUAUCUGUGACUUGACAGUACUGUCUACAAAAAUGCCAGAAAAUUAGCACUUCUGAAUGCUUGUUUUGUAUUCUUCAAGUACAUUAUUAGAAUUUGUUUGUCGAAAGAAGUACGCUACACCAUUGUAUUCAUAAUAAAUGCUCUUUGAUUUGUAUGACUUUGCUUUUG